Molecule: ribosomal RNA, 402 nt
Filed under: uncultured bacterium
Lineage: Bacteria
Description: bacterial SSU rRNA
Rfam family: Bacterial small subunit ribosomal RNA
Source: RNAcentral
UGGGGAAUAUUGCACAAUGGGGGAAACCCUGAUGCAGCAACGCCGCGUGGAGGAUGACGCAUUUCGGUGUGUAAACUCCUUUUAUAAGGGAAGAUAAUGACGGUACCUUAUGAAUAAGCACCGGCUAACUCCGUGCCAGCAGCCGCGGUAAUACGGAGGGUGCAAGCGUUACUCGGAAUCACUGGGCGUAAAGGAUGCGUAGGCUGUGAUAUAAGUCAGAAGUGAAAUCCAACGGCUUAACCGUUGAACUGCUUUUGAAACUGUUUCACUAGAAUAUGGGAGAGGUAGAUGGAAUUGGUGGUGUAGGGGUAAAAUCCGUAGAUAUCACCAGGAAUACCGAUUGCGAAGGCGAUCUACUGGAACAUUAUUGACGCUGAGGCAUGAAAGCGUGGGGAGCAAACA